Molecule: transfer RNA, 74 nt
Filed under: Nakaseomyces glabratus
Lineage: Eukaryota; Fungi; Ascomycota; Saccharomycetes; Saccharomycetales; Saccharomycetaceae
Description: [Candida] glabrata transfer RNA-Pseudo(CTT)
Rfam family: tRNA
About the family: Transfer RNA (tRNA) molecules are approximately 80 nucleotides in length. Their secondary structure includes four short double-helical elements and three loops (D, anti-codon, and T loops). Further hydrogen bonds mediate the characteristic L-shaped molecular structure. tRNAs have two regions of fundamental functional importance: the anti-codon, which is responsible for specific mRNA codon recognition, and the 3' end, to which the tRNAs corresponding amino acid is attached (by aminoacyl-tRNA synthetases). tRNAs cope with the degeneracy of the genetic code in two manners: having more than one tRNA (with a specific anti-codon) for a particular amino acid; and 'wobble' base-pairing, i.e. permitting non-standard base-pairing at the 3rd anti-codon position.
Source: RNAcentral
GCCUUGUUGGCGCAAUCGGUAGCGCGUAUGACUCUUAAUCAUAAGGUUAGGGGUUCGAGUAGACAUGCAUGGCU